CAGCACUCUGGCUCUUGUACCAAGCCGACCUCAUGGGGAAGGAGGGGAAGAAGAAGGGCCAAUGGCCCGGAGCGCCAUCCUGAGAAACCAUCCAAUCCAGUCCCCUGGCUUUAUGUGAGGAAACUGAGGCCCAGGGAGGAGAAGGGACUGAUCUAAGGUCACACAGUGACUCGAAGACAGAGCGGAGCCCGGGUGCCAGACCUCCUGGGUUCUCAUUGCUGGCCCAGAGCCCUGCUACCAUCCCUUCCUGUUGGCAGACGAAUGGCAGCCUUGUGAGGCUGACCUCAUACCCCUGGAACAAGGGCCUCUGGACAUCUUGGCCCGGGUUCCCGGGAGCCUCUCAUCCCUUCUUCCCUUUCGAGGCUGCUCCCGGAGCCCAGGAAUGUCUGGCGCUUCCUUUGGUGUCUCCCCUCCAAAUAAGGGGCCCCUUCCUGGACCCAUCAGAACUAGGGCCCGGAAGCCGGGACUGCUGGGCAUCGCCAGCCUCCUCUGGUCCGGCUCCCAGGAAUCCCCAGGGCUGGGGCCCCUCCCUAGAAGGCUGUGAUCACAAGACUCAGGAGAAGCCCAAAGGAGCGGCUCCAGGAUGGAGUUUCCUGAUGAAUGUGGUGUUUGUCACUUCCUGCUCUCUGGACAGCUGCUGUGGCUCCCCGUGGCUGUGGGAGAGCUGAGUGCCUGGUUCUUUGAGAUCCCUGGGCCAAGCUCCUUCCAGGGGGGCCUGAGCCGGGGUUCCCCAAAGGGCUGUGCCGCCAUAUUGGCCUCCAGACUCUUGUUGGGGGCCAGAGACACGGAGGGGACGCGGCCCUGGACUGCAGGCCCCCCGACCAGAGGAGAAGACAAGGACCCCAACACCCACCGGACCUCCAAAGGACCUGGAUCAGAACUGCAGCCCAGCACCAUCCGGCCAGCUGCGACCGUGAGCUCCUCAGGCGAGCCUGUAAGGCGGCAACCAACAACAAAUAUGAUCCAUUCCCUUCGGCCUGACAAGCCCCAGCUAUGGGCCAGGCACUGUCCUAGGCAUUGGGGGACUCAAAGAUACCUACUGAAGUGCCUCUCCUCCAUCAGGAGAAACCGCAUGUCCACAGGGAAGGAAAGAGCCAGUGCAGGCAGAGCGGGGCGUCCCGAUGGACCGGGAGCAGCCGACCCUCUGACCCAAGGCCUCGGUGCUCCUUCCUGCCUGGCAGCUACUGUGCAGGGGAUGGGGGAGGCCCGAGCCCCCUCUGCUCUCUUCCAGCUCCCUCCUCUCCUAAAUACAAAAUGACUCGGGGAAGGACUCCCUAGGCCUUGGGGACAAUCAAGAGAGACUUCACGGAGGAAGAAGCUUUGGAGCGGAGCCUUGAAAGAAAUAGAGGACAGCAAAAGGCCAAGGGGGAGGGGGAGAGAGAAGGAGAGAAGACAGGUAGCCAGUCAGGAGCUCUGGGCUGUAGAGCCUCAGGCACCAGAGUCCAACCUUCUCCUUUUAUAGACCAGGAACUGGAGGUCCCAGAAUGCAUGCAGUAAAGAAUCUAAACUCGAACUCAGGCCCCACGACUUCUCCCACUGUGACACGCUGCCUUCCCAUGGUGAGAAAGACCUUCCACGGCUGGUGGACCCCCAGGGGAGGGGCAGGGCUGGCUCCCUUCCUCGGUGGAGAUGCAGACCCAGCAGGACUCCUGUGAGGACGUCUUUGGGUCCCCAACAUCAGCUGGUCUCACUCCUCCUACCAACCCGGAAAGGUUUCCUCGGGGACCCUGAGAGGCAAGGGGGGUCUGCCGGCUAUGGGCAGCCUGGCUGGACACUGCCUGAGUCUACACCGGCUAGAGAGGGACGACAUCUGGCCCUGGCCACCUCCUCUCCCGAAAGGGCAGCCCCAAACCACCGAAGCCCUCAAACUCAGCCGGAGCUCCCAUCCUUGGGUCUCCUCCCUCCGGGUUCAGGGGGAGCCCGCGGGGGGCCGUGGACCCGGCUUCUCACUGCACGUCCUGCCUGGCACCGGUUUUCAGGGUGGUUUUUUCAAGCAUCCGUCGCUCCUGGGAACUCUUCCCCCGAGGAGGGACGACGACGAAUGGUCUCACACAACAAGCCGGCAGCUCCCUGGGACGCUGGACAGGCCGCGCAUUCAGCCUCCUGCACCCGCUGCCCCCCACCUCUCCGGGGCCAGGAGGGAACAUAUGAGUCAGGGGGGACGUGGGUCCGCCAAUGGAUCGCCAGAGCCAUUUGUUCCCUUGGGCAGCGGCCAUCGGGAAGACGCUUCUCGGGCUCUGACUCAGCCCAUGUGGCUGGUCCCCGGCUUCUCCGAAUUCCUGGCAGUCAUCACCUCUUCUUACAUGAAAAGAGCCCAUUACCAGUAGCCCCAGAGACGCUCUCCGGCUCUGCAUGGGCACCCACUUCAUCCCAUUUCUCCUUUGACUCCCCAUGCCUGCGGCGUGGUCUGCUCCUAGGCAGGGAUCGGUGUGCUGGGGUACAGGGGGCCGAGGCUCCGGCCAGGAGCCCCCAGAGGCCCAGCAGAGCAGACCCCACCAAGUUCUGAAGGGGGAACUUAGAGAGGAAAAGAGAUAAGGUCAGAGACAGAGGGGAGAAAGAAACAAGAGACAGAGAGUUUGGGAGAGACAGAGGGGCAGAGAGAGACAGAGAGAGAGAAAGAGGCAGAGAGAGACACAGAGACACAGAGACAGAGACAGAGACAGAGACAGAGACAGAGACAGAGACAGAGACAGAGACAGAGACAGAGGGGAGAAAGAAACAAGAGACAGAGAGUUUGGGAGAGACAGAGGGGCAGAGAGAGACAGAGAGAGAGAAAGAGGCAGAGAGAGACAGAGAGACAGAGAGACACAGAGACACAGAGACAGAGAGACAGAGACAAAGACAGAGACAGAGACAGAGACAGAGACAGAGGGGAGAAAGAAACAAGAGACAGAGAGAUGGGGAGAGACAGAGGGGCAGAGAGAGACAGAGAGAGACAGAGACAAAGAGUGAAAGAGAGGGAGGGAGACAGAGAGAGACAGACAGAGAGAGACAGAGAGAGAAGGGGAGGGAUCCCUCCCCCAUAAUAAACACAACAUAUGGACCCCA
Molecule: long non-coding RNA, 3048 nt
Filed under: Monodelphis domestica (gray short-tailed opossum)
Lineage: Eukaryota; Metazoa; Chordata; Mammalia; Didelphimorphia; Didelphidae
Description: lncRNA (ENSMODG00000038213.1)
Source: RNAcentral